CAUCGUUCUUGUGCACUAAAGCCGUGCAAACCUGCAGAGAUCAAUCGGACAGCAGAUAAAAAAGCUGAUCAUUGUCACACCCUGCUUCACACCCGAGACGACACACAGCAAGCUGCCCACGCCGCAAGAAUCCGUCUCUGUCUCCCAGGGCUGCUGAUAGCAACAUUGCUCUCUUCACUUCCCGGUCACAGUGACCUUGCAACUCCUACACGAAGGGCAGUCACAGAUGCCUGAUGUAAUCAGACCCCUGUUUCACAGCUCAAACAGGAUGGACAGGCUGUUGCACAGAAACACCAGUACUUUCAUUCAUGCACAUGGAAGAAAGGGCUGGAUCUGCCUCCCAUUGC
Molecule: long non-coding RNA, 347 nt
Filed under: Struthio camelus australis
Lineage: Eukaryota; Metazoa; Chordata; Aves; Struthioniformes; Struthionidae
Description: lncRNA (ENSSCUG00000017464.1)
Source: RNAcentral